AGUGAACGCUGGCGGUAGGCCUAACACAUGCAAGUCGAACGGCAGCACAGUAAGAGCUUGCUCUUACGGGUGGCGAGUGGCGGACGGGUGAGGAAUACAUCGGAAUCUACUUUUUCGUGGGGGAUAACGUAGGGAAACUUACGCUAAUACCGCAUACGACCUACGGGUGAGAGCAGGGGAUCUUCGGACCUUGCGCGAUUGAAUGAGCCGAUGUCGGAUUAGCUAGUUGGCGGGGUAAAGGCCCACCAAGGCGACGAUCCGUAGCUGGUCUGAGAGGAUGAUCAGCCACACUGGAACUGAGACACGGUCCAGACUCCUAAGGGAGGCAGCAGUGGGGAAUAUUGGACAAUGGGCGCAAGCCUGAUCCAGCCAUACCGCGUGGGUGAAGAAGGCCUUCGGGUUGUAAAGCCCUUUUGUUGGGAAAGAAAAGCAGCAGGUUAAUACCCCGCUGUUCUGACGGUACCCCAAGAAUAAGCACCGGCUAACUUCGUG
Molecule: ribosomal RNA, 492 nt
Filed under: uncultured bacterium
Lineage: Bacteria
Description: partial 16S ribosomal RNA
Rfam family: Bacterial small subunit ribosomal RNA
Source: RNAcentral